Molecule: ribosomal RNA, 443 nt
Filed under: uncultured bacterium
Lineage: Bacteria
Description: partial 16S ribosomal RNA
Rfam family: Bacterial small subunit ribosomal RNA
Source: RNAcentral
CCUACGGGUGGCAGCAGUGGGGAAUAUUGGACAAUGGGGGGAACCCUGAUCCAGCGACGCCGCGUGAGUGAAGAAGUAUUUCGGUAUGUAAAGCUCUAUCAUCAGGGAUGAAAGAAAUGACGGUACCUGACUAAGAAGCCACGGCUAACUACGUGCCAGCAGCCGCGGUAAUACGUAGGUGGCAAGCGUUAUCCGGAUUUACUGGGCGUAAAGGGAGCGUAGACGGUGAUGCAAGUCUGAAGUGAAAGGCGGGGGCCCAACCCCCGGACUGCUUGGGAAACUGUAUGGCUGGAGUGCAGGAGAGGUAAGUGGAAUUCCUAGUGUAGCGGUGGAAUGCGUAGAUAUUAGGAGGAACACCAGGGGCGAAGGCGACUUACUGGACUGUAACUGACACUGAUGCUCGAAAGUGUGGGUAUCAAACAGGAUUAGAUACCCCAGUAGUC